AGUGAACGCUGGCGGUAGGCCUAACACAUGCAAGUCGAACGGCAGCACAGUAAGAGCUUGCUCUUACGGGUGGCGAGUGGCGGACGGGUGAGGAAUACAUCGGAAUCUACUUUUUCGUGGGGGAUAACGUAGGGAAACUUACGCUAAUACCGCAUACGACCUACGGGUGAAAGCAGGGGAUCUUCGGACCUUGCGCGAUUGAAUGAGCCGAUGUCGGAUUAGCUAGUUGGCGGGGUAAAGGCCCACCAAGGCGACGAUCCGUAGCUGGUCUGAGAGGAUGAGCAGCCACGGUGAAACUGAGACACGGUCCAGACUCCUACGGGAGGCAGCAGUGGGGAAUAUUGGACAAUGGGCGCAAGCCUGAUACAGCCAUACCGCGUGGGUGAAGAAGGCCUUCGGGGUGUAAAGCCCUUUUGUUGGGAAAGAAAAGCAGCAGGUUAAUACCCCGCUGUUCUGACGGUACCCAAAGAAUAAGCACCGGCUAACUGCG
This 490-nucleotide ribosomal RNA is filed under the name uncultured bacterium. Its description in RNAcentral is "partial 16S ribosomal RNA". It matches the Rfam family "Bacterial small subunit ribosomal RNA", at positions 29 to 505 of the family's 1533-position model. The record is from RNAcentral.